GUUAUAUGGUCAAGUGAAGAAGCGCAUACGGUGGAUGCCUUGGCAGUCAGAGGCGAUGAAAGACGUGGUAGCCUGCGAAAAGCUUCGGGGAGUCGGCAAACAGACUUUGAUCCGGAGAUCUCUGAAUGGGGGAACCCACCUAGGAUAACCUAGGUAUCUUGUACUGAAUCCAUAGGUGCAAGAGGCGAACCAGGGGAACUGAAACAUCUAAGUACCCUGAGGAAAAGAAAUCAACCGAGAUUCCCUUAGUAGUGGCGAGCGAACGGGGAUUAGCCCUUAAGCUUCAUUGAUUUUAGCGGAACGCUCUGGAAAGUGCGGCCAUAGUGGGUGAUAGCCCCGUACGCGAAAGGAUCUUUGAAGUGAAAUCGAGUAGGACGGAGCACGAGAAACUUUGUCUGAACAUGGGGGGACCAUCCUCCAAGGCUAAAUACUACUGACUGACCGAUAGUGAACCAGUACCGUGAGGGAAAGGCGAAAAGAACCCCGGAGAGGGGAGUGAAAUAGAACCUGAAACCGUAUGCGUACAAGCAGUGGGAGCCUACUUGUUAGGUGACUGCGUACCUUUUGUAUAAUGGGUCAGCGACUUAUAUUCAGUGGCAAGCUUAACCGUAUAGGGUAGGCGUAGCGAAAGCGAGUCUUAAUAGGGCGUUUAGUCGCUGGGUAUAGACCCGAAACCGGGCGAUCUAUCCAUGAGCAGGUUGAAGGUUAGGUAACACUGACUGGAGGACCGAACCCACUCCCGUUGAAAAGGUAGGGGAUGACUUGUGGAUCGGAGUGAAAGGCUAAUCAAGCUCGGAGAUAGCUGGUUCUCCUCGAAAGCUAUUUAGGUAGCGCCUCAUGUAUCACUCUGGGGGGUAGAGCACUGUUUCGGCUAGGGGGUCAUCCCGACUUACCAAACCGAUGCAAACUCCGAAUACCCAGAAGUGCCGAGCAUGGGAGACACACGGCGGGUGCUAACGUCCGUCGUGAAAAGGGAAACAACCCAGACCGCCAGCUAAGGUCCCAAAGUUGUCGUUAAGUGGUAAACGAUGUGGGAAGGCUUAGACAGCUAGGAGGUUGGCUUAGAAGCAGCCACCCUUUAAAGAAAGCGUAAUAGCUCACUAGUCGAGUCGGCCUGCGCGGAAGAUGUAACGGGGCUCAAACCACACACCGAAGCUGCGGGUGUCACGUAAGUGACGCGGUAGAGGAGCGUUCUGUAAGCCUGUGAAGGUGAGUUGAGAAGCUUGCUGGAGGUAUCAGAAGUGCGAAUGCUGACAUGAGUAACGACAAUGGGUGUGAAAAACACCCACGCCGAAAGACCAAGGGUUCCUGCGCAACGUUAAUCGACGCAGGGUUAGUCGGUUCCUAAGGCGAGGCUGAAAAGCGUAGUCGAUGGGAAACAGGUUAAUAUUCCUGUACUUCUGGUUACUGCGAUGGAGGGACGGAGAAGGCUAGGCCAGCUUGGCGUUGGUUGUCCAAGUUUAAGGUGGUAGGCUGAAAUCUUAGGUAAAUCCGGGGUUUCAAGGCCGAGAGCUGAUGACGAGUCGUCUUUUAGAUGACGAAGUGGUUGAUGCCAUGCUUCCAAGAAAAGCUUCUAAGCUUCAGGUAACCAGGAACCGUACCCCAAACCGACACAGGUGGUCGGGUAGAGAAUACCAAGGCGCUUGAGAGAACUCGGGUGAAGGAACUAGGCAAAAUGGCACCGUAACUUCGGGAGAAGGUGCGCCGGCUAGGGUGAAGGAUUUACUCCGUAAGCUCUGGCUGGUCGAAGAUACCAGGCCGCUGCGACUGUUUAUUAAAAACACAGCACUCUGCAAACACGAAAGUGGACGUAUAGGGUGUGACGCCUGCCCGGUGCCGGAAGGUUAAUUGAUGGGGUUAGCGCAAGCGAAGCUCUUGAUCGAAGCCCCGGUAAACGGCGGCCGUAACUAUAACGGUCCUAAGGUAGCGAAAUUCCUUGUCGGGUAAGUUCCGACCUGCACGAAUGGCGUAACGAUGGCGGCGCUGUCUCCACCCGAGACUCAGUGAAAUUGAAAUCGCUGUGAAGAUGCAGUGUAUCCGCGGCUAGACGGAAAGACCCCGUGAACCUUUACUGUAGCUUUGCACUGGACUUUGAGCCUGCUUGUGUAGGAUAGGUGGGAGGCUUUGAAGCGUGGACGCCAGUUCGCGUGGAGCCAUCCUUGAAAUACCACCCUGGCAUGCUUGAGGUUCUAACUCUGGUCCGUAAUCCGGAUCGAGGACAGUGUAUGGUGGGCAGUUUGACUGGGGCGGUCUCCUCCUAAAGAGUAACGGAGGAGUACGAAGGUGCGCUCAGACCGGUCGGAAAUCGGUCGCAGAGUAUAAAGGCAAAAGCGCGCUUGACUGCGAGACAGACACGUCGAGCAGGUACGAAAGUAGGUCUUAGUGAUCCGGUGGUUCUGUAUGGAAGGGCCAUCGCUCAACGGAUAAAAGGUACUCCGGGGAUAACAGGCUGAUACCGCCCAAGAGUUCAUAUCGACGGCGGUGUUUGGCACCUCGAUGUCGGCUCAUCACAUCCUGGGGCUGAAGCCGGUCCCAAGGGUAUGGCUGUUCGCCAUUUAAAGUGGUACGCGAGCUGGGUUUAGAACGUCGUGAGACAGUUCGGUCCCUAUCUGCCGUGGACGUUUGAGAUUUGAGAGGGGCUGCUCCUAGUACGAGAGGACCGGAGUGGACGAACCUCUGGUGUUCCGGUUGUCACGCCAGUGGCAUUGCCGGGUAGCUAUGUUCGGAAAAGAUAACCGCUGAAAGCAUCUAAGCGGGAAACUUGCCUCAAGAUGAGAUCUCACUGGGAACUUGAUUCCCCUGAAGGGCCGUCGAAGACUACGACGUUGAUAGGCUGGGUGUGUAAGCGUUGUGAGGCGUUGAGCUAACCAGUACUAAUUGCCCGUGAGGCUUGACCAUAUAACACCCAAACA
RNAcentral lists this ribosomal RNA (2912 nucleotides) under Pseudomonas aeruginosa. Its description in RNAcentral is "bacterial LSU rRNA". It matches the Rfam family "Bacterial large subunit ribosomal RNA". Lineage: Bacteria; Pseudomonadati; Pseudomonadota; Gammaproteobacteria; Pseudomonadales; Pseudomonadaceae. The record is from RNAcentral.